CCGCGCACCGAGCCAACAUGGUGGCGGCAGCGGCAGCGCGGGGUGGAGGGGAGGCGAGGGGCAGCUCCCGAUCGGGGCCUUUCGGGGAGGGUUGCGCAGAGCCCGGCUGCCGCCUUCUUGCUUGACGCCGGUCAGGUGUGUGGCUUCAGCUCUGAGCUCUUCCGCCUGCCGUGGGAAAGGUGUGGAGAAAUUACUCUUCAACCACGCAGCCGGGGAUGUCCAGGCUUGGUGUGUUAUGGAUUUGAGUCAGACAGGACAAGGAAGGAGGAGCUGCACUCAUCUGCUGUAGCAUGUGUGGAAUACAGUGUGAGAUGCUGCUGCUGUGGUUUGCUGCUACCAGGUGCUGGGUACCAUUUCAUGACCAGUGCUUCAGGCAGGCUCAGCCUCUGUGAACUCCUCAGCUGUGCUGCGUUUCUGGUUUUCCAGGAAAAAUGCUGCUGUUAAGAGCAGGUCGUGCACUGUUGCUCAGAAGGGAAAGGAACAAACAGCAAGAGAAAAAGAAAUACGUGUUAAAGCUGACCUGAACUACUUUUGGUAUUGACAUCAGUGCUUGAGUCGUUCAGAGCCUUUAAGAGUCUUCUCACUUCACUUACCAGCCUGUGUAAUGGAACAGUUUCUGCUGACUUUGGGAGAUUUGCACAUCUACGUAUUGGUUAUACUUACUAAGUUAUUGUUGUACAUUGUGCUGACUGCCUAAGAUAGUACUGUGGAAGAAACUCUUAAUAUCACGAGAUGCAAAAUCCAAGUGAAUACAACAUUUAGACAGAGCUCUUAGGGGAUUCCACUCCAAAUUCAGUUAUUUCCCAGCACACACUGACUUUUAGCUGUUGAAUAUACAUGCUAUUCACAGAGCUUUUAUAUGUGACUUCAUAAGUGAAGUGGAGGAGGCAUAGCAAUUAUGCGCAUUGUCUUAUUAUAGUCCUUUGGACUAGCUUUCUUAAGGAGCCUUUCCCCCCCCAUCCCAUCAUCCUUGCUGUAUUCCUGUUUUCUCCUCCUCCUCAUGGCUGGCUGGUACUUCCUCUGCUCUUAGCGUGGUCCAUUCUUGUGACCUCCCGCCCGACUGAAGAUGGACAACUUCUUCAGGCCUGUGCCAAUGCCCUUUGUUGUGCGUUAAUCCCUGAUAGAUCUGAAUUUCCCAUGCUAGGUUGUUAUUAUGGCCCUAGUGUUUUGAGGAUAAUUGCCUGGGCACCAG
Long non-coding RNA from Gallus gallus (chicken), 1192 nucleotides. The record is from Ensembl. Lineage: Eukaryota; Metazoa; Chordata; Aves; Galliformes; Phasianidae.